UGGGGUUUAGCUCAGUGGUAGAGCGCUUGCCUAGCAAGCGCAAUGUCCUGGGUUCGGUCCCCAGCUCCAA
Non-coding RNA from Rattus norvegicus (Norway rat), 70 nucleotides. The record is from Rfam. Lineage: Eukaryota; Metazoa; Chordata; Mammalia; Rodentia; Muridae.